RNAcentral lists this ribosomal RNA (503 nucleotides) under uncultured bacterium. RNAcentral describes it as "partial 16S ribosomal RNA". It matches the Rfam family "Bacterial small subunit ribosomal RNA", at positions 30 to 523 of the family's 1533-position model. The record is from RNAcentral.
AUUGAACGCUGGCGGCAGGCUUAACACAUGCAAGUCGAGCGGGGUGAUGGUGCUUGCACUAUCACUUAGCGGCGGACGGGUGAGUAAUGCUUAGGAAUCUGCCUAUUAGUGGGGGACAACAUCUCGAAAGGGAUGCUAAUACCGCAUACGUCCUACGGGAGAAAGCAGGGGAUCACUUGUGACCUUGCGCUAAUAGAUGAGCCUCAGUCGGAUUAGCUAGUUGGUGGGGUAAAGGCCUACCAAGGCUACGAUCUGUAGCGGGUCUGAGAGGAUGAUCCGCCACACUGGGACUGAGACACGGCCCAGACUCCUACGGGAGGCAGCAGUGGGGAAUAUUGGACAAUGGGGGGAACCCUGAUCCAGCCAUGCCGCGUGUGUGAAGAAGGCCUUAUGGUUGUAAAGCACUUUAAGCGAGGAGGAGGCUCUUUUGGUUAAUACCCAAGAUGAGUGGACGUUACUCGCAGAAUAAGCACCGGCUAACUCUGUGCCAGCAGCCGCGGUAA